AUUGAACGCUGGCGGCAGGCCUAACACAUGCAAGUCGAGCGGAUGAGUGGAGCUUGCUCCAUGAUUCAGCGGCGGACGGGUGAGUAAUGCCUAGGAAUCUGCCUGGUAGUGGGGGACAACGUUUCGAAAGGAACGCUAAUACCGCAUACGUCCUACGGGAGAAAAUGGGGGAUCUUCGGACCUCACGCUAUCAGAUGAGCCUAGGUCGGAUUAGCUAGUUGGUGAGGUGAAGGCUCACCAAGGCGACGAUCAGUAACUGGUCUGAGAGGAUGAUCAGUCUCACUGGAACUGAGACACGGUCCAGACUCCUACGGGAGGCAGCAGUGGGGAAUAUUGGACAAUGGGCGAAAGCCUGAUCCAGCCAUGCCGCGUGUGUGAAGAAGGUCUUCGGAUUGUAAAGCACUUUAAGUUGGGAGGAAGGGCAGUAAGUUAAUACCUUGCUGUUUUGACGUUACCAACAGAAUAAGCACCGGCUAACUUCGUG
This 484-nucleotide ribosomal RNA is filed under the name uncultured bacterium. RNAcentral describes it as "bacterial SSU rRNA". It matches the Rfam family "Bacterial small subunit ribosomal RNA", at positions 30 to 507 of the family's 1533-position model. The record is from RNAcentral.